This 79-nucleotide transfer RNA is filed under the name Actinoplanes nipponensis. RNAcentral's name for it is "tRNA-Gly". Lineage: Bacteria; Bacillati; Actinomycetota; Actinomycetes; Micromonosporales; Micromonosporaceae. The record is from RNAcentral.
GACCGGCUGGGCGAGGCCGCGUCGGCCCGGUACCGGCGGGCCCGGAUCGGCCUGGUGUUCCAGUUCUUCAACCUGCUCG